Molecule: non-coding RNA, 1998 nt
Organism: Saimiri boliviensis boliviensis (Bolivian squirrel monkey)
Lineage: Eukaryota; Metazoa; Chordata; Mammalia; Primates; Cebidae
Source: RefSeq, a predicted model, not a curated record
GUAAGAAUCCAUUCAGGGAAAACUGCUCCAGUGCCUUGGCCCAGCUGAUCUGCUUCAACAAGUGUGUAACCAUCUAGGCAUAAGAUUCUGGAGACUACUGGAGAAAUGACCACCUUCUCUCUUCUGUCCGUUUGAAUGAUACACAGGAGGGCCAAUAGAACUGUAGAUGGUUGAGAAGCCACCACAGGAAAAGGAGAAAAGCCAUGUCACAAACGGAAUAGCCCAAGGACCCUGGAGGUGAAGGUCCAAUUUAGCAAAGAUGGCUGGAUCCAGAGAAGAUGUGAGGACAGAGGAGGAGAAACAAAAGAGGUUCUUGGGGUCAAGAAUAAUGGUACUGACCAGGCUGCUUUCCUGCCUCUUCCAAACUGGAAUUCCCAUCUCGAUCUGGAACAGCUGCUGGGAGGAACAUGCUGCUGGGCAUCACCAUCUCGGGAGUGGUCACCUGAGGAGCAAGAGCAAAGAGAGUCAAAUGGAGAGGAAAGAUACACAAAAUAGGAAAUGUUUAAAAAUUAUUUAAUAAGCAAAAUUACCCUUCACCAGUAUAAAGCUAGAGGUGUCACUUUUCACAGCUCACUGAAGAUUCAUGUUUAUUAGACAAAGCUCACAUCAGUCAAAAGUGUUUCUACGGUUACAUUCUGGACAUAAUUAGCAGUGCACACUUGAAGAAUAAUCUUCUUAUUAAUAUUUUUCCUUUAUGCAGAAUUUUGACUUUGAUCACUGACAAUGUUUUGUCAUGGGCUGUGAAACUUCUUGUGCAACCAAUUAGGUAGAUAAGUUGAAAGGCCCACCUUAAGCUGCUGAAAACAUAAUAAGGGCCCUAAUUAAAUCAUACCUAGUAAAGUACACUGUAAUCUUGAAACAGGGAGCAUUGUAGUACUGUUUUCAAAAUGUAUUCAGGCAAGAAGAGGAGGGGAGUAAGAGUGAAGGAAAGGGUAAGAAGAAAAGAAGAGAACAAAGGGAAGGCUAAGGACACGCAGACAUGCUGGCAGAUUUUCCAGGAAACAACAUUUGUAACCCUUUACAAGCUGAUAUCAAGCACAAACAAGCCUUUUUUUGUGUGUGACUCACUUAAGCCCACGAUUUCUUCUGGACUAUCUGCCCAAGAUACACAACAUCAGAAGGAACCUCUGGCCAAUGUCCCAGCCAUAGAGGGUGGCCUGCACAGCAUUCUAUAACAGGGCAGUCCCACCUUGACCAUGGCCAUUGUUUCUAAACAUAGCAAUUCUGGAAAUUGCCUGGAUGCAAAUAGCUGCAAUUUUAUGGCAGAUCCUCAGAUACUUCUCUGGGCCUCCCAGUCAUACAGCCAGAAGCCUGUCCAGAUAAGUUAUCAUUUGCCCUAUGUUAAUGUGAUAAACAGUCCUCGACACCAAUGGAAGGAUCAAAGGUUCUUCAUUCAAACAGAAGCAAUAUCCCUUUGCCUGAUAUGGGGUGGGAAGGGUAGGUGGCGAUGAUAUUUGAAAUGAAUCAGAAAACCGCCUCCCAUUUGAUGACAGCCGGAGAAAUGGACUGACCUAGAAGAUACAGGACCAGAAACUACAAUCACCACUAACCUUUCUACAUGGCUCCCAGCCCCACUUGGAGACAUUAUUUUUCCAUCAAACAAAACCAUACUGCACAGCCAUCUUCACUAUCUGUUGCAAAGACUGGAAUACUUAGAUUUCUCUUCAAAAUUAAUGUUUUAAAUACAUUACUAUUAAUUUUUAAUGGUGUGAAAAUCCUAGCCUUGCCCAAAAUAGCUACUGACAUGUCCACUAGAAUAUCAGUGAUAGGCUUGACGACUAGAGGAAACCCAGACAGCCAUCCUCAUCAACAUAAGAUAACUCCCCAUCACAUUUAGGGGUAUUAAAAUAAUUUUAGCAACCCAGAUGCCAAUGGGUGCAAAAAGUAAGCCACAGGCACUAUGGAGAACCACUCUGAGAAACACUGUGUUUACGAAGAGCAGGUGUGUGGCAGGUGAAUGUGAAUGACAUCGCAUUCUUGCCCCCACAGACACCUGCA